AUCAACUUUCGAUGGUAGGAUAGAGGCCUACCAUGGUUUUAACGGGUAACGGGAAAUUAGGGUUCGAUUCCGGAGAGGGAGCCUGAGAAACGGCUACCACAUCCAAGGAAGGCAGCAGGCGUGCAAAUUACCCAAUCCCAACACGGGGAGGUAGUGACAAUAAAUAACAAUAUGGGGCCUUUACGGGUCUCGUAAUUGGAAUGAGUACAAUUUAAAUCCCUUAACGAGGAACAAUUGGAGGGCAAGUCUGGUGCCAGCAGCCGCGGUAAUUCCAGCUCCAAUAGCGUAUAUUAAAGUUGUUGCAGUUAAAAAGCUCGUAGUUGAAUUUCGGGGUCUGUCCAUCGGUCGGGCUUUUUCGGUCCGCACUGUUGCGAUGGAUUCCUACCUUCUGAAUAACCGAUUUGCCAUUAAUUUGGUGGGUCGGGGAAGCAGGACUGUUACCUUGAAAAAAUUAGAGUGCUCAAAGCAGGCUAGUGCCUGAAUACAUUAGCAUGGAAUAAUAAAAUAGGACGGCAUGGUUCUAUUUUGUUGGUUUCUAGGAUCACCGUAAUGAUUAAUAGGGAUAGUUGGGGGCAUUAGUAUUCAAUUGUCAGAGGUGAAAUUCUUGGAUUUAUUGAAGACUAACUACUGCGAAAGCAUUUGCCAAGGAUGUUUUCAUUAAUCAAGAACGAAAGUUAGGGGAUCGAAGACGAUCAGAUACCGUCGUAGUCUUAACCAUAAACUAUGCCGACUAGGGAUCGGACGAUAACAAAUUAAUGACUCGUUCGGCGCCUUACGGGAAACCAAAGUGUUUGGGUUC
Molecule: ribosomal RNA, 799 nt
Filed under: uncultured Entrophospora
Lineage: Eukaryota; Fungi; Glomeromycota; Glomeromycetes; Entrophosporales; Entrophosporaceae
Description: SSU rRNA
Rfam family: Eukaryotic small subunit ribosomal RNA
Source: RNAcentral